Long non-coding RNA from Hyalella azteca, 697 nucleotides. RefSeq lists it as uncharacterized. The transcript is spliced from 2 exons. Lineage: Eukaryota; Metazoa; Arthropoda; Malacostraca; Amphipoda; Hyalellidae. The record is from RefSeq and is a predicted model, not a curated record.
UGGCCAUUGAAUCGCGUGUCGUAAUUUUUAAUUAGUUAUUUGUACCUAAGGCCCAGAUUGUAACAAGCUGCUUUCCAUCUCGUUGCACACUAGUUGGUGUUGCGUGCUGAAUUUCUGCUGAAUUAUGUCUUGGCCUCAAUUUGAGUGGCGGGUGGACGUGGGCAUCUGAUUCCAUCCAUAGUGGGCAUCUGAUUCCAUUUAUCUCUUUAUGGUUCGCAUGGAAUCUAAUCGUCGGCGAGCUGUCCUGAAUCGAAGGACUUCAGUGACGAAAAGAAACUAGUGCCAAGAAGAUGCUCCAUACUCAUCGGUGACGGAGGGACAUCGGGUUAGAGAGGAGAUAAUCAUCUCAUUUUUGGGGGAUUUGAAAACUCCCGAAUGUCCUAGACCGUCGACUAGGAACUGAUGAGCUUCUACGGUCUACAUGAAUCUGUGCCAAUUGAAAGUGGGCAAUUCAUUUGAUGACAGCCGUCCUAGUUCGUAACCGAGUUCUGACUUUUUGUCAGCAGGAAGUGGAUUCAAAACUUGCGGCUUAGAAGAAGUCCAAAAUUUUUGUAUACGUCUCGUGCUACAGUUUUUUAAUUCGGUUAAACUUCAUUUAUGGUCAGCAUUGUAUUGGCAUAUCGUUAGAUUUUUAUGAUCAGGUUCUUAGAGUUUUCAAAUAAAACUCCAUGGCCUGGCUGUCACCACUUUGACUUAG